AACCUUACCUGGUCUUGACAUAGUAAGAACUUUCCAGAGAUGGAUUGGUGCCUUCGGGAACUUACAUACAGGUGCUGCAUGGCUGUCGUCAGCUUGUGUCGUGAGAUGUUGGGUUAAGUCCCGCAACGAGCGCAACCCUUUUCCUUAUUUGCCAGCGGGUUAAGCCGGGAACUUUAAGGAUACUGCCAGUGACAAACUGGAGGAAGGCGGGGACGACGUCAAGUCAUCAUGGCCCUUACGACCAGGGCUACACACGUGCUACAAUGGUCGGUACAAAGGGUUGCUACCUAGCGAUAGGAUGCUAAUCUCAAAAAGCCGAUCGUAGUCCGGAUUGGAGUCUGCAACUCGACUCCAUGAAGUCGGAAUCGCUAGUAAUCGCGGAUCAGAAUGCCGCGGUGAAUACGUUCCCGGGCCUUGUACACACCGCCCGUCACACCAUGGGAGUUUGUUGCACCAGAAGUAGGUAGUCUAACCGCAAGGAGGACGCUUACCACGGUGUGGCCGAUGACUGGGGUGAAGUCGUAACAAGGUAGGCGUAGAUGA
This 543-nucleotide ribosomal RNA is filed under the name uncultured bacterium. RNAcentral's name for it is "bacterial SSU rRNA". It matches the Rfam family "Bacterial small subunit ribosomal RNA", at positions 967 to 1509 of the family's 1533-position model. The record is from RNAcentral.